RNAcentral lists this ribosomal RNA (403 nucleotides) under Verrucomicrobiota bacterium. RNAcentral describes it as "Verrucomicrobia bacterium partial 16S ribosomal RNA". It matches the Rfam family "Bacterial small subunit ribosomal RNA", at positions 355 to 776 of the family's 1533-position model. The record is from RNAcentral. Lineage: Bacteria; Pseudomonadati; Verrucomicrobiota.
UGGGGAAUAUUGCACAAUGGGGGAAACCCUGAUGCAGCGACGCCGCGUGAGCGAAGAAGGCCUUCGGGUCGUAAAGCUCUUUUAUAUGGGAAGAUAAUGACGGUACCAUAAGAAAAAGCCCCGGCUAACUACGUGCCAGCAGCCGCGGUAAUACGUAGGGGGCUAGCGUUGUCCGGAAUCACUGGGCGUAAAGGGUUCGCAGGCGGCAAUGCAAGUCAGAUGUAAAAGGCAAAGGCUCAACCUCAUUAAGCACUUGAAACUGAUAGACUUGAGUGAAGGAGAGGAAAGUGGAAUUCCUAGUGUAGCGGUGAAAUGCGUAGAUAUUAGGAGGAAUACCGGUGGCGAAGGCGACUUUCUGGACUUUUACUGACGCUCAGGUACGAAAGCGUGGGGAGCAAACAGG